Molecule: ribosomal RNA, 460 nt
Filed under: uncultured bacterium
Lineage: Bacteria
Description: partial 16S ribosomal RNA
Rfam family: Bacterial small subunit ribosomal RNA
Source: RNAcentral
CCUACGGGAGGCAGCAGUGAGGAAUAUUGGUCAAUGGACGAGAGUCUGAACCAGCCAAGUAGCGUGAAGGAUGACUGCCCUAUGGGUUGUAAACUUCUUUUAUAAAGGAAUAAAACGAGGCACGUGUGCCUUUUUGCAUGUACUUUAUGAAUAAGGAUCGGCUAACUCCGUGCCAGCAGCCGCGGUAAUACGGAGGAUCCGAGCGUUAUCCGGAUUUAUUGGGUUUAAAGGGAGCGUAGAUGGGUUGUUAAGUCAGUUGUGAAAGUUUGCGGCUCAACCGGAAAAGUGCAAUUGAUACUGGCAGUCGUGAGUACAGUUGAGGUAGGCGGAAUUCGUGGUGUAGCGGUGAAAUGCUUAGAUAUCAUGAAGAACCCCGAUUGCGAAGGCAGCUUACUAAACUGUGACUGACAUUGAUGCUCGAAAGUGUGGGUAUCAAACAGGAUUAGAUACCCUGGUAGUC